This is a non-coding RNA of Sphaeramia orbicularis (orbiculate cardinalfish), 886 nucleotides long. NCBI's taxonomy places the organism in Eukaryota, Metazoa, Chordata, Actinopteri, Kurtiformes, Apogonidae. The record is from the annotation of a RefSeq genome assembly.
UCACAGCUCGUCCUGCUUCGUCCUCAGCUGCAGCAGACGCCACUUCUCCCCAGGUUCACCAGAAGAAACCACACAAAAUGCUUCUGCUGCUGCCGGCUGUUCUGUGCUGUCUGUGUUCAGCGCUGGUUGUCACGGCAACACAGCUGAUUCAGGAGGAUGUAACACUGACCAGGAGAGUCGGUCAACAAGUCUCCUUCAGCUGUGGAGGAACUCAGAAGUGUUCGAGUUUUACAGGCUGGUUCCAGAAGAAAGACACAGAAACAGUUAAACUGAUUCUCCGUUUUAAGGGCGACGGUUUCAUUUAUAACAAUAAUAAUCAUCCUCAGAAAGCUGACUUCUCAUCUGUAGAUAAAGGUAAAGGUUAUGAGUUGCAGAUCCAGACAGUUCUACCCUCUCAUUCAGCCUCAUACUACUGCGCCUGUUAUGUCAGUUUACCCACAGUGAGAAAAGACACCUGAAGUCUGUACAAAAACCUCCAGAUGCACAAACAUCAACCAGCAUUAGUGACAUGAACAGAACAGCAAACCUUGACAACCAUCCCAUAUUUCAGUUCCAUCUCAGACACAAACUAACUGAUCUGAGGACACUUUGAAUCCCAUACAUUUCAUAUUUUCAAGUGAAUUUGACACAUUUGAACAGGUUUAAUGUUGGAAAAAACUGAGCAGAAAAAUCCCAAUCCAAAGGACAAACACAAUCAACCUGAAGAGUCAUGGACACGGACCAAUGCUGGACUCAGAGUUGGAUCCAUGAAAAUGAACAGUCCAUGAAAACCACUGGUGUGUUUGUCCAGUUCAAAGCUCAAGUGAAUCCUCUGGAGACCAUGAAUGUGAAUCCAUCCAUCACUGGGUCCAGAUCCAGUCCAUGUGGACUAAAGGACUGAACAAAC